Molecule: RNA transcript, 911 nt
Organism: Megalobrama amblycephala (Wuchang bream)
Lineage: Eukaryota; Metazoa; Chordata; Actinopteri; Cypriniformes; Xenocyprididae
Gene: vipb
Gene name: vasoactive intestinal peptide b
Exons: 5
Source: RefSeq, a predicted model, not a curated record
AGAAGUCAUGUGUUCACUGAGCAGCUGUCAGACGCUCCUCCUGAUGGCCGUCUGCGGGGUCUUCUGCUGCCGGACUCUCGCGCUGCCGGCCAUCUCUGCGUAUCCUGACAUCAGACCAGGCGCUCUUGAUGAAGACAGAGAGGACGACUGGACGAGAGACGCGUCGCUGCAGGACCUCGAGGCGUAUAAACUCCUGUAUGAACUCGCAAACAACAUCGAGAGACCAUCCAGACACGCUGACGGGCUGUUCACGAGCGGAUACAGCAAACUGCUCGGACAACUGUCUGCUAAAGAAUACCUGGAGUCUUUACUCGCAAAGAGAGUCGGUGAUGAGCUGGAUGUGGAGCAGAUGCCUGUGAAACGUCAUUCAGACGCCGUCUUCACCGACAACUACAGCCGCUACCGCAAACAGAUGGCGGCCAAGAAAUACCUCAACUCAGUUCUGGCCGGGAAAAGGAGGUACGACUCAAAAAGGAGGCAAGAGUCGCUAUUGAUAGUGCGAUAAAACAUCACAAAGGCUACAAGAAACCACCGGCAAUUUUUUCCCAUCUGAAUGCAUUUUGUUUUUAAUUAUAGCAAGUUUAUGAUCUCUUAUGAUCUCUGGUUUAGGUGAUGCACUCACGCUCAAACGCUGCCUGUGCUCUUCAACAUGUGACACGGACGGCACAGCUUCAAGACUUCGCCAUCAUUAUAUAUUCAAGCUUACACAAUCUAUUAUGGGCUGAGAUUGAAUUAACGGCACUAAACGCAACACAGACUGAACCAAGCACGUCAGACUCUUGUGUCCUCGCGUGAACGACGCGUCCGGUUUGCUGUUGGCUGGAAUAAUGCUGUUAUGUCUAUAGAAAUCUAUUUUGACUGCAGUCAUUCUUGAUAACUGAAAUCAAACCAAUAAAAAUGAUCAUGUUUGU